RNAcentral lists this unclassified non-coding RNA (227 nucleotides) under rhizosphere metagenome. Its description in RNAcentral is "partial ribosomal RNA internal transcribed spacer region". The record is from RNAcentral.
GUAGGUGAACCUGCGGAAGGAUCAUUACCUUUCAAUGCAGCAGAAUGGGGAUGGUUGAGUUUCUCGCCUCUCUGUUCUGCCUGUAUUCUACCCUUGUUUGUCAUAUACUAUUAUCUCCUCGGCAGGCUAGCUUGCCGAGUGAAACCAAUUAUAACCUAUUUAAUUUUCAAUCAGCGUCUGAACAAAAUUAAUAAUUACAACUUUCAACAACGGAUCUCUUGGUUCCG